This 455-nucleotide non-coding RNA is filed under the name Pongo abelii (Sumatran orangutan). Lineage: Eukaryota; Metazoa; Chordata; Mammalia; Primates; Hominidae. The record is from RNAcentral.
CCAAGUCUCAAAUAUUGAAGAAUCUCUAACCAGGGACACCAGUCCCAACGAAGACCUUGGGCGAUUUCAAAGUGCGGGCACCUCGAUUCCCCGAAUCUGUAGUGUGGCUGGUAUCGGUGUUUCCCUGGUUUAACUAGCCUGCUUGAUGGGGAAAUUGAGGCACAGAAGCCAAGACAUGCGCUAAAGGUCAUGCGGGCUAUGAAUGGAGCUGGAAUGUGAAUGCAGGCCAUGUGACUCCAGAGCCCAUGUUCUUGAACCCUUAGAAAGACAGCAGCAACACACCUGGUGCAGCAGCUGCUUAGUUGGAGUGGCUGACAAGGUUGGCAGAGGAUCCCGUUCCUCCCGUGGAGUGGCUGCCAUGACACUGCGUGCACUGAAGCUGCUCCUAUUUCUGAAAUAUGUAUUGUUAUUUUUUUCCCUCCAUGUUGAACAUUAUACUCUUCUGUUCUUUCGUA